Molecule: ribosomal RNA, 464 nt
Filed under: Tomentella sp. YM1528
Lineage: Eukaryota; Fungi; Basidiomycota; Agaricomycetes; Thelephorales; Thelephoraceae
Description: eukaryotic LSU rRNA
Rfam family: 5.8S ribosomal RNA (bases 99-253)
Source: RNAcentral
GGGGGGACUCUGUCCUCCUGCUGUGGUUCUAUGCUUUUACACACACACUGUAAUUAAAGUCUCAUGGGAUGUAUACCGCGUUUAACGCAAUACAAUACAACUUUCAGCAACGGAUCUCUUGGCUCUCGCAUCGAUGAAGAACGCAGCGAAAUGCGAUAAGUAGUGUGAAUUGCAGAAUUCAGUGAAUCAUCGAAUCUUUGAACGCACCUUGCGCCCUUUGGCUAUUCCGAAGGGCAUGCCUGUUUGAGUAUCAUGAACACCUCAACUCUCAUGGUUUACCAUGAUGAGCUUGGACUUUGGGGGUCUUGCUGGCCUAUGGUCAGCUCCUCUUAAACAAAUCAGCUUGCCAGUGUUUGGUGGCGUCACAGGUGUGAUAACUAUCUACGCUUGUGGUUUCCCAUCAGGUGACCUUCAGUGAUGGAGGUUCACGCUGGGGCUCAUAAAGGUCUCUCCUCAGUGAGGAC